GCGGGUAUAAAUUAAAGGUAGAUUAUCUGCCUUCCAAGCAGAAUGUAUGAGUUCGAUUCUCAUUACCCGCA
This 71-nucleotide transfer RNA is filed under the name Trachydiscus minutus. RNAcentral's name for it is "tRNA-Gly". It matches the Rfam family "tRNA". From Rfam's summary of the family: Transfer RNA (tRNA) molecules are approximately 80 nucleotides in length. Their secondary structure includes four short double-helical elements and three loops (D, anti-codon, and T loops). Further hydrogen bonds mediate the characteristic L-shaped molecular structure. tRNAs have two regions of fundamental functional importance: the anti-codon, which is responsible for specific mRNA codon recognition, and the 3' end, to which the tRNAs corresponding amino acid is attached (by aminoacyl-tRNA synthetases). tRNAs cope with the degeneracy of the genetic code in two manners: having more than one tRNA (with a specific anti-codon) for a particular amino acid; and 'wobble' base-pairing, i.e. permitting non-standard base-pairing at the 3rd anti-codon position. Lineage: Eukaryota; Eustigmatophyceae; Goniochloridales; Goniochloridaceae. The record is from RNAcentral.